RNAcentral lists this long non-coding RNA (415 nucleotides) under Pelobates cultripes (western spadefoot toad). The record is from RNAcentral. Lineage: Eukaryota; Metazoa; Chordata; Amphibia; Anura; Pelobatidae.
AAUAAACCGGAGACCUCUUAUGGUCUCAAAAACCUGUAUCUAUCUUAGAUACUAACCUGGGUUACCAAGAACCCCUAUAUAUAUUUAGACCAAAUGUCUAAUAAACCGGAGACCUCUUAUAGUCUCAAUAUAACUAGAGUCCUUACACCUUUCCUAUCUACUGGAUACAGACUUACUGAACCAAAGGGGGGUCAUAGACAAUCAGCGUCAAAUAAGACACAAAAAGGCUACUCACCGCAAAUGGUUUUGCUGAUCCACUUCAUCUAUCCCACUUCUGACACCAAGCUGAAAGGGUUAAUGUUGUAAUGGACUCUAAUCCCCUCGGUUCUCGAUCCCUCGGUCACCAUAAUCAACGUUGAUGGAGAAUCAUUUGUAAGCAAUAACACACGGACAACAGCUUUACAAGACUCUCAAA